RNAcentral lists this ribosomal RNA (1306 nucleotides) under uncultured bacterium. Its description in RNAcentral is "bacterial SSU rRNA". It matches the Rfam family "Bacterial small subunit ribosomal RNA", at positions 28 to 1381 of the family's 1533-position model. The record is from RNAcentral.
AACGUACGCUGGCGGCACGCCUAACACAUGCAAGUCGAACGAAGUAGCAAUACUUAGUGGCAGACGGGUGAGUAACAUGUAGGUAUCUGCCCUUUGGCCUGGAAUAACACGAGGAAACUUGUGCUAAUACCGGAUAAGUCUUUACGGAGAAAGCUUUAUGCACCAUUGGAUGAGCCUGCACUUGAUUAGUUUGUUGGUGGGGUAAUGGCCUACCAAGACUGUGAUCAAUAGCUGAUUUGAGAGGAUGAUCAGCCACAUUGGGACUGAGACACGGCCCAAACUCCUACGGGAGGCAGCAGUGGGGAAUCUUGCACAAUGGAGGAAACUCUGAUGCAGCGAUGCCGCGUGAGUGAAGAAGGCCCUUGGGUUGUAAAGCUCUUUCGUCGGGGAAGAAAAUGACUGUACCCGAAUAAGAAGGUCCGGCUAACUUCGUGCCAGCAGCCGCGGUAAUACGAAGGGACCUAGCGUAGUUCGGAAUUACUGGGCUUAAAGAGUUCGUAGGUGGUUGAAAAAGUUAGUGGUGAAAUCCCAGAGCUUAACUCUGGAACUGCCAUUAAAACUUUUCAGCUAGAGUAUGAUAGAGGAAAGUAGAAUUUCUAGUGUAGAGGUGAAAUUCGUAGAUAUUAGAAAGAAUACCAAUUGCGAAGGCAGCUUUCUGGAUCAUUACUGACACUGAGGAACGAAAGCAUGGGUAGCGAAGAGGAUUAGAUACCCUCGUAGUCCAUGCCGUAAACGAUGUGUGUUAGACGUUGGAAAUUCAUUUUCAGUGUCGCAGGGAAACCGAUAAACACACCGCCUGGGGAGUACGACCGCAAGGUUAAAACUCAAAUGAAUUGACGGGGACCCGCACAAGUAGUGGAGCAUGUGGUUUAAUUCGAAGAUACGCGCAGAACCUUACCAACACUUGACAUGUUCGUCGCGACUCUAAGAGAUUAGAGUUUUCGGUUCGGCCGGACGAAACACAGGUGCUGCAUGGCUGUCGUCAGCUCGUGUCGUGAGAUGUUGGGUUAAGUCCCGCAACGAGCGCAACCCUCACUUUUAGUUGCCAUCAUUAAGUUGGGCACUCUGAAAGAACUGCCAGUGAUAAGCUGGAGGAAGGUGGGGAUGACGUCAAGUCCUCAUGGCCCUUACGUGUUGGGCUACACACGUGCUACAAUGGUAUCUACAACAGGAAGCAAGACUGCGAAGUUAAGCAAAUCCCUAAAAGAUACCUCAGUUCGGAUUGCACUCUGCAACUCGAGUGCAUGAAGCUGGAAUUACUAGUAAUCGUGGAUCAGCGUGCCACGGUGAAUGCGUUCCCGGGUCU